GGUCAAGCUACUAAGGGCGUGCGGUGGAUGCCUUGGCGCAGGAAAGCGAUGAAGGACGUAGCAGGCUGCGAUAAGCCUCGGGGAGCGGCGAGCACGCUUUGAUCCGGGGAUUUCCGAAUGGGGCAACCCGGCCAGGUUAAUACCUGGUCACCUCCUCCUGAACACAUAGGGAGGUUGGAGCGAACGAGGGGAAUUGAACCAUCUAAGUACCCUCAGGAAAAGAAAGCAACCGCGAUUCCCCCAGUAGCGGCGAGCGAACGGGGAUCUAGCCUAAACCGAAGACGUGCCAAGCCGGUGAGCGUUGCGUUUUCGGGGUCGUGGGACCGUUGUGGACUCCAUCACCGUGGGGUCGGGAAGUUACAAACCGAAUUCCUAGUCGAAUGGCAUGAAAAGGCCAGCCAUAGAAGGUUAUAGCCCUGUAGGCGAAAGGAGUUCGGCUUCCUGGCGACGGUUCCCGAGUACCACGGGACACGUGGAACCCUGUGGGAAUCUGGGAGGACCAUCUCCCAAGGCUAAAUAUUCUCCUGCGACCGAUAGUGAACUAGUACCGUGAGGGAAAGGUGAAAAGAACCCCUGCUAGGGGAGUGAAAUAGAACCUGAAACCGCAUGCUUACAAGCAGUGGGAGGGCUAUGGCCUUCGGGCAAAGCCUGACCGCGUGCCUUUUGCAUAAUGAGCCGGCUAGUUACUCUCAGCGGCAAGGUUAAGCGAUAAGCGAGCCGGAGCGAAAGCGAGUCUUAACAGGGCGAGCAAGUCGCUGGGAGUAGACGCGAAGCCGAGUGAUCUACCCUUGGCCAGGGUGAAGCGUGGGUAACACCACGUGGAGGCCCGAACCAUUGUGGGUUGAAAACCGCUUGGAUGAGCUGAGGGUAGGGGUGAAAGGCCAAUCAAACUCGGUUAUAGCUCGUUCUCCCCGAAAUAGCUUUAGGGCUAGCCUCGCGUGUUUAUUGUCGCUGGUAGAGCACUCAAUGGACUAGGGGGUGUAAUAACCUACCGAAUCCAAGGAAACUCCGAAUGGCGGCAACGGAAAGCGCGGGAGUCAGACUGCGAGGGAUAAUCUCCGUGGUCGAGAGGGAAAGAACCCAGACCGCCAGCUAAGGUCCCCAAAUUCAGGCUAAGUGGCAAAGGAUGUGAGGCUGCUGUGACAGCUAGGAGGUUGGCUUAGAAGCAGCCAUCCUUCAAAGAAAGCGUAACAGCUCACUAGUCGAGCGGCCUUGUGCCGAUAAUGUAACGGGGCUCAAGCCUGGUACCGAAGCUGCGGACCGGCCAGCUUGCUGGUCGGUGGUAGGGGAGCGUUCUGUAGGAGAUACAAGUCGGACCGACAAGGACCGGUGGUGGCCUACAGAAGUGACUCUGCCGGCAUAAGUAGCGAUAAACGAAGUGAGAAUCUUCGUCGCCGAAAAUCCAAGGUUUCCUGAGGAAGGUUCGUCCGCUCAGGGUGAGUCGGAUCCUAAGGUGAGGCCGAAAGGCGUAGCCGAUGGGUAGCAGGUCAACAUUCCUGCACCGCCUAUGUGAGUGAUGGGGUGACGCAGGAGGCUAGGCGAACCGGACUGUUGGACAUGUCCGGCCCCGAGUGUAGGGGGGCAUCCCAGGCAAAUCCGGGGUGCCGUAACCCUGAGGCGAGGGGGGAAGUGCGGCCUUGUGCCAAACCAACUCGCUGACGCCACGCUGCCAAGAAAAACCUCUAGCGUUAAUUGCAUAGGCGUCCGUACCGUAAACCGACACAGGUAGAUGGGGAGAGAAUCCUCAGGCGCGUGAGAGAACUCUGGCUAAGGAACUCGGCAAAAUAGCCCCGUAACUUCGGGAGAAGGGGUGCCCCAUUAGGGUGAAAGGCCUGCGCCUGGAGCCUGAAGGGGUUGCAGUGAAAGGGCGCAAGCGACUGUUUACCAAAAACACAGCGCUCUGCAAAGUCAAAAACGACGUAUAGGGCGUGACGCCUGCCCGGUGCCGGAAGGUUAAGAGGAGGUGUUAGCCGCAAGGCGAAGCAUUGAAUCGAAGCCCCGGUAAACGGCGGCCGUAACUAUAACGGUCCUAAGGUAGCGAAAUUCCUUGUCGGGUAAGUUCCGACCUGCACGAAUGGCGUAACGAUUUGCGCACUGUCUCGGCCAGAGACUCAGUGAAUUUGUAGUACCGGUGAAGAUGCCGGUUACCCGCGGAAAGACGGAAAGACCCUGUGAACCUUUACUGCACCCUGGCAAUGGAGCUCGGUGCGGCAUGUGCAGGAUAGGUGGGAGGCUUUGAAGCCGGAUCGUCAGAUUCGGUGGAGCCACUGGUGAGAUACCACCCUUGUCGUAUUGGGUUUCUAACCUCGGGCCCUGAAUCGGGUCCAGGGACAUUGUCAGGCGGGUAGUUUGACUGGGGCGGUCGCCUCCCAAAAUGUAACGGAGGCGUGCUAAGGUUCCCUCAGGCUGUUUGGAAAUCAGCCGUAGAGUGCAAUGGCAUAAGGGAGCUUGACUGCGAGACCUACAAGUCGAGCAGAGACGAAAGUCGGCCAUAGUGAUCCGGCGGUUCCGUAUGGAAGGGCCGUCGCUCAACGGAUAAAAGGUACUCCGGGGAUAACAGGCUGAUCCCUCCCAAGAGUCCACAUCGACGGAGGGGUUUGGCACCUCGAUGUCGGCUCAUCGCAUCCUGGGGCUGAAGCAGGUCCCAAGGGUUCGGCUGUUCGCCGAUUAAAGCGGUACGUGAGCUGGGUUCAGAACGUCGCGAGACAGUUCGGUCCCUAUCUUCCGUGGGCGCAGGAGAUUUGAGGGAAUGGUUCCCUAGUACGAGAGGACCGGGAACCACGGACCUCUAGUGUACCGGUUGUCGCGCCAGCGGCAGCGCCGGGUAGCUAUGUCCGGAAAGGAUAAGCGCUGAAAGCAUAUAAGCGCGAAGCCCAUCCCAAGAUGAGAUCUCCCGGGCCAUAAGGCCCCUGAAGACCCCUUGGAGACUACAAGGUUGAUAGGCUGGAGGUGUAAGCGCGGUGACGUGUUUAGCUUACCAGUACUAAUCGGUCGUGAGGCUUGACCUU
RNAcentral lists this ribosomal RNA (3008 nucleotides) under Acidobacteriota bacterium. RNAcentral describes it as "23S ribosomal RNA". It matches the Rfam family "Bacterial large subunit ribosomal RNA". The record is from RNAcentral. Lineage: Bacteria; Pseudomonadati; Acidobacteriota.